AUGGUCAGAGGACACACAGGUGAUUGACUCAUCGUGCUGCUGUGUUUGCACGUUGCUAUAAUAGUUUUGUUUUUGUUUUUUUUAUGAUUUGGUUUAGUCGGUCUCUGUGCUGGGACUUUUGGUUGUGUUUGAGAGUAGAUUCCCAGGACCAGCUGGCUGAGGGGGGGGGAGCUUCUCUCCUGGGUGUCACUACAGGUUGGCGAGCAGACCACAGACCAUGACCCAUAAAGGUCAUUCACAGCUUUGUUGAAGUCACCUGUGGUGCUGAUGUUAAGGCCGAGAACCGAUGUAGUUGCAGGCCCCGCCGCCAGGGGGUCUGAGCAUUUCCGACCUGCUGUGCACAAAGCAGCGUCACAGACAGGUGGCGUCAUCCUCUCUUUCAUGAUGCAGCUUCAGAAACAAACCAUCAUCCUGCAGCAGGCAUCAGCUCCGAGGGGAUCAAAAACCACUCAACCCAGAAACUCUCCUUCCUCAGCAGAGUCUGACUGUUCUUCAUUGUGACUGAGUUCACCACGGUGUGUUUUCACUGUGGGGAAAUUCUCCUGUCAAACCCACUGUCUGGUGUCUGGCUCAAGGGCACCUCAGAAGCAGAUGUGGACUCGGUUGCAACGCUGGAUGCGGAGGUGCAAGAUUCCUUUAUCUGCUUCUCACUCUCUUAUUUGUAAUUAUAUCCCCAAGUUAUUUAAGUGUGUAGGAUUUAUUUAUCAUGCAUCAAAGGCAGUAUACAACCAUGUAAAAUACCAAAGUACUUCAUAAAACAUGACAUUUUUUGUAAAAUUUAACUAAAAAUAUUACAAAGGAUGAAUGUUGAUGAAGUAACUACAAAUAAUAAACCAUACAAUUACAAAACACCAAAAAACUGAUUUAAUAGGUAAAAAUAGCAAAUUUCCCUCAAAGGCUGUUCCAGCGAAUCAGAGCGUAGGACACAUUUUUUUUCUCCUGGAAAAGUGCAUUCAUUCUCCUCAAUAACAUUCAAACCUUCGGGUUUCCAUAGCUCAUGGAAACGUACCUGAACGCAACAGCCCACAUAGAAAUCAUUGACUUCUGGUCAUGCUCUGUUUUGC
Long non-coding RNA from Platichthys flesus (European flounder), 1064 nucleotides. RefSeq lists it as uncharacterized. The record is from RefSeq and is a predicted model, not a curated record. NCBI's taxonomy places the organism in Eukaryota, Metazoa, Chordata, Actinopteri, Pleuronectiformes, Pleuronectidae. The transcript has 4 exons.